GACGAACGCUGGCGGCGUGCUUAACACAUGCAAGUCGAACGGAAAGGCCCUGCUUUUGUGGGGUGCUCGAGUGGCGAACGGGUGAGUAACACGUGAGUAACCUGCCCUUGACUUUGGGAUAACUUCAGGAAACUGGGGCUAAUACCGGAUAGGAGCUCCUGCUGCGUGGUGGGGGUUGGAAAGUUUCGGCGGUUGGGGAUGGACUCGCGGCUUAUCAGCUUGUUGGUGGGGUAGUGGCUUACCAAGGCUUUGGCGGGUAGCCGGCCUGAGAGGGUGACCGGCGACAUUGGGACUGAGAGACGGCCCAGACGCCUACGGGAGGCAGCAGUGGGGAAUAUUGCACAAUGGGCGGAAGCCUGAUGCAGCAACGCCGCGUGCGGGAUGACGGCCUUCGGGUUGUAAACCGCUUUCGCCUGUGACGAAGCGUGAGUGACGGUAACGGGUAAAGAAGCACCGGCUAACUACGUG
RNAcentral lists this ribosomal RNA (468 nucleotides) under uncultured bacterium. Its description in RNAcentral is "partial 16S ribosomal RNA". It matches the Rfam family "Bacterial small subunit ribosomal RNA", at positions 28 to 507 of the family's 1533-position model. The record is from RNAcentral.